Molecule: ribosomal RNA, 393 nt
Filed under: uncultured bacterium
Lineage: Bacteria
Description: partial 16S ribosomal RNA
Rfam family: Bacterial small subunit ribosomal RNA
Source: RNAcentral
AUACGGAGGAUCCGAGCGUUAUCCGGAUUUAUUGGGUUUAAAGGGAGCGUAGGUGGACAGUUAAGUCAGUUGUGAAAGUUUGCGGCUCAACCGUAAAAUUGCAGUUGAUACUGGCUGUCUUGAGUACAGUAGAGGUGGGCGGAAUUCGUGGUGUAGCGGUGAAAUGCUUAGAUAUCACGAAGAACUCCGAUUGCGAAGGCAGCUCACUGGACUGCAACUGACACUGAUGCUCGAAAGUGUGGGUAUCAAACAGGAUUAGAUACCCUGGUAGUCCGCACAGUAAACGAUGAAUACUCGCUGUUUGCGAUACACGGUAAGCGGCCAAGCGAAAGCGUUAAGUAUUCCACCUGGGGAGUACGCCGGCAACGGUGAAACUCAAAUGAAUUGACGGGG